CGGAUUCGAUUCCAUCCUUCCAGCUUCUCUCCCGUCCGCGAUUCAAGGACGACCUCCCAGCUUCUUCAUCUAAACUCCCAGCCGUUAACCCUUCCCAGCUUAACUUCCAACCACAUCUCUCCCCUGUUCUAUGACAAUCAUCCAGAACCAAAUCUAGAUUAACACAUAAGAAUCCCAGCUCACGGUUCGUCAUUCCCUCUUCCGAAUCCUCCUCAUCUCCCCUUCAUCCACGGGAUAAACUCAAAUCCCAUCUUCCUGCGUGAUCUCAUGGAACAGCCCGAGUCUUCAGCGAUGACAACCACCCACGGAUAACUCCCAUUCCGAAUCAACUCAUCUUCAUCUCCCCUUCUUCCCAUCGUAUCACAACAGUCCCAACGUCCCAGUCAUCGUUUCACUUUCCCAGCAGUCGCGUUUGAUCCCUGCCUCCUAGAUUUCCUCUUCCGCGAUUCAUCCCGUGAGCAUCCCGAACAACAUGGCAUUCAAAUGCAUCCUCUGUUCAACUUCCAGUCGCAUGACCCGUGGGAUUAACCUCCCAGCUUCUUCCGGAUUGAUCUAAAAUCCCAGCUCAUCCUCUUCCUAACGUCCCAACCAGAGCAACUCCUCCUUCCCAAGCAUCACGGAAGUGUCAAUCCGUUCUCAUCCGAACUUUACUUCCCCUGUUUCAGAACCAAUCCAAACGGUACCAUCCUUUCGGUUCCCAGCUCAGCUCCUCCCAAUGAUGUUCUUCCGGAUUGUUCCCAGACCUAUCCACGGACGAGUUCAUGUGUCCGCGUUCCAUUCUUCCGAUUCUUCUUCCCAGACUUCACGGAAACAACAUCCUCCCAGCUCAUCCCGUCUUCAUCGCCAACCAAACUUCCAGCUUCUUCCAAAUCUCCUCCCAACCAACUAGCCUUCCAUCACUUCCGGAUAAGCUCGAGACCCAUCUGCCAACCAACCCCAGCUCACGAAUCCAUUGGUUUCUUCCUCCCGUUCGGAAUUAUCUUCAUCCACGGAUAAACUUUCCUUCCCAGCCGUUCCGCUUCCCCUGUUUCCGGAACCACCUCAUCCCAACAGCAUUCAACCGGAUCGAGCUUCAUCCUUGCGAGCUUCACGGCAACCACUCCUGCGUCUUUUCCGUG
RNAcentral lists this long non-coding RNA (1118 nucleotides) under Phoenix dactylifera (date palm). RNAcentral describes it as "long non-coding RNA (PDAC_LNC004745)". The record is from RNAcentral. Lineage: Eukaryota; Viridiplantae; Streptophyta; Magnoliopsida; Arecales; Arecaceae.